RNAcentral lists this ribosomal RNA (479 nucleotides) under uncultured bacterium. RNAcentral's name for it is "bacterial SSU rRNA". It matches the Rfam family "Bacterial small subunit ribosomal RNA", at positions 30 to 521 of the family's 1533-position model. The record is from RNAcentral.
AUUGAACGCUGGCGGCAGGCCUAACACAUGCAAGUCGAGCGGCAGCACAGAGGAACUUGUUCCUUGGGUGGCGAGCGGCGGACGGGUGAGUAAUGCCUGGGAAAUUGCCCUGAUGUGGGGGAUAACCAUUGGAAACGAUGGCUAAUACCGCAUGAUGCCUACGGGCCAAAGAGGGGGACCUUCGGGCCUCUCGCGUCAGGAUAUGCCCAGGUGGGAUUAGCUAGUUGGUGAGGUAAUGGCUCACCAAGGCGACGAUCCCUAGCUGGUCUGAGAGGAUGAUCAGCCACACUGGAACUGAGACACGGUCCAGACUCCUACGGGAGGCAGCAGUGGGGAAUAUUGCACAAUGGGCGCAAGCCUGAUGCAGCCAUGCCGCGUGUAUGAAGAAGGCCUUCGGGUUGUGAAGCUCUUUUGGCGGGGACGAUGAUGACGGUACCCGCAGAAUAAGCCCCGGCUAACUUCGUGCCAGCAGCCGCCGU